UGAAGCCCAGAGAAAUGAAGUAAGUUGUCCAAGGCAAGUCAGUAGCAGAGCUUCAGCUAGAACCCAGGGAUCUGGUAACAUGGUGAAACAGAACAAGUGUUAGCCUUGGAGUCAAGAGACCCAGGUUCAAAUCCUGACAUUGACCAGCAGUGUGAUCAUGGAACCAGCUGAGCUCAGUGGAUGGAGGUCCAUCCAUCACCAGAGGACUGGUCAUUCACAGCCUUUCAUGAAGACCAUUUGCUAAGGCUCAGAGGUGUGGAGAUUAGCAGCAGAAGUGCUCACAGUGAAUGGAGAACAGAUUCCGGGAGUAUAUGGAGCAGAAUGAGGUAGAAAGAGCCCUGGAUUGGGAAGAUCUGGGUUUGACUCCCAGCUGUAUGACCUUGGGUUCACUUCAAACAGAAUCUUCCCUGAACUUUGCUCAGCUAAUUCCAUGGUCAACUGCUCCUGCACCUGUCACAACCCACCACUACGGCUCCAAGCCAGCUCCAAUCCCAACUCAAGGACUCUGGACCUUUCAUACUGGCCAGGAAGCUGAGGAACCUGGACGGAUCCAUCUUGGGGUACUCAUUCACCUAAGAUCAGGAAAAAAACAAACAGCAAAAGGGUAAAGGCCCCAUGCAAGCUUACCUAGUUAAGUCCACACUCCAGGUAGGGACUGGAGGCUGGGUUGUCAUCAUACAAGAGUAGAAAAAGAUAUGAUCUUUCCCACCUUGAACUGGAGUCACAUGUCCCACUUGGAGAGCUGAAGCUGACAGGACCUCAGUCAG
Long non-coding RNA from Vombatus ursinus (common wombat), 767 nucleotides. RefSeq lists it as uncharacterized. The transcript is spliced from 3 exons. Lineage: Eukaryota; Metazoa; Chordata; Mammalia; Diprotodontia; Vombatidae. The record is from RefSeq and is a predicted model, not a curated record.